UGAUUCCGGUCUCCCUGUCCAGCGCGUGCCGGGGCCAGACGAAGCUGAUGUCCAGCGAUGGCGUCCUGGAUGCAAGAUGGCGACGAGCGCCACCACCAGUCCAGUGACGAUGGUAAUGAAGUAAGGCAUCUUACCUCUUCUUGAUUCACGUUCUGUAAAAAGAAAUGAGGAUCGAUGGAUGCCAUUGCCCUUGAUCUUCAUUCUCCGGUUAAUUUCCUGCAAGGAAUCGCUCUUGAAGAGUCAAUUAAAGAUCGAGAGAUUCAUGUCGUUGCAGUGCACGGUGCGAGGCUGCCGCUUGGAAGCACUUCCGCCGGGCUGAGGGCCGCCGAGGUAGCGGGCGCCACCACGCCUAGCCGAGGGCUGAGGCCGUCCAACUAGCGAGCGAUGCCGUAGCCGGGGAACGCCGCACCGAUGGAGUCGCUCUGCCGGGAGCGUGCUGAUAACGUGUUAGAAAGGGAAACGAGAGACAAUCGAGAGAGCCUUGUAACAGAUGUAAAA
This 498-nucleotide long non-coding RNA is filed under the name Triticum aestivum (bread wheat). RNAcentral describes it as "long non-coding RNA (TAES_LNC000185)". Lineage: Eukaryota; Viridiplantae; Streptophyta; Magnoliopsida; Poales; Poaceae. The record is from RNAcentral.